GUUCAUCUCUAUUGCUACUGUUGUAGAACACGGGUCCAAUUUGGCUUCCAUUUACAGCAUAGUAUGAGAUUUGGCUACUGUACCACUUGGCUUGUUUUCCCAAACAUGGAAAUAGCAAAUGUCGAUCAAGGAAGUGGCAAUCCAGGCGCGAAACUUCUAAGAAUUGAGCUCAAACGUAAACACGCACAUGUAUGUUGUGCAUGUUCUCACCGAGAAAAAUCAAGACACGAGUGUAUUGAUUUACGGAUGUGUGUACGUAGAAUACAAAAAUAUGUCCUGGGACAACAGAGACGUUGGCUCGACCAGUUUAAAAAUAAGGAUUUCUUAUAGGCUGCUACUAGUGAUGACGGUGACCUAGAAGUCAACGUGAAAAUAGCCAUAAGUCCAAUGUCGAUUUGAGAUAUAUUACAUCAGCACUGCAAGCUGUUUUGGUUGUUAUCGAAGAAUAGAUUUUGAUUUGAA
This 462-nucleotide long non-coding RNA is filed under the name Varroa destructor (honeybee mite). RNAcentral's name for it is "uncharacterized LOC111254817, transcript variant X2". The record is from RNAcentral. Lineage: Eukaryota; Metazoa; Arthropoda; Arachnida; Mesostigmata; Varroidae.